CAAACCCUCUAUCCAACUUUUGUUGAAUAGGAUUAUUGGGGGCCUCUCGAUCUGUAUUGAUCUUGAAACCCUUGAAAUAUACUAAGGCCUGAACUUGUUUAAUGCCUGAACUUUUUUUUAAUAUAAAGGAAAGCUCUUGUAAUUGACUUUGAUGGGGCCUCCCAAAUAAAUCUUUUUAA
This 179-nucleotide unclassified non-coding RNA is filed under the name uncultured Mucor. Its description in RNAcentral is "sequence contains ITS2". The record is from RNAcentral. Lineage: Eukaryota; Fungi; Mucoromycota; Mucoromycetes; Mucorales; Mucoraceae.